Long non-coding RNA from Mya arenaria, 1064 nucleotides. RefSeq lists it as uncharacterized. Lineage: Eukaryota; Metazoa; Mollusca; Bivalvia; Myida; Myidae. The transcript has 2 exons. The record is from RefSeq and is a predicted model, not a curated record.
UAUAAGAUAUUUGAAGAGAUAUGACCAAUUUAUGUCCUAUGAAGGCAACUCCAAGAACAAAGUUUUUAUUUCAUGGUAGGUGAAACACGAACCUCAUAGUCACAAUAUGAGAACCCUGUUGACAAGUUUUUGAUGUAAUUCUUUGAAGUAAAUAUUUUUGUUAAAGUAAUUCCUUGAAAUGAGGAAAACAGUUUUUUGAAAAGUAGUACGUAGAAAACAAUCAAGAUACUAUUUUGGGGGAUUUUACCUGUGAACAUAUAAAAAGAGGCGAAUUCUUUACCUUUUACCCACAACUGAUUUAACAAUACCUCAGGUGCACCACAACAUUGAGAGUUGAAAGAUGCCGGGAGAUUUUCCAAAGGCGCUGGUAAACAAGGCUGCCCAUGUCUUCAGGCAUGAACCAGAAACUUACUCAAAAUUCACACAUUUUCUCGCCACACUUGACAAGAAGAAAAGGAAACCAUUCGUGAAAAGCCUCAUGGCUGUUCUCAACGAUGACCACAUGUUUAAAGUCACAGCCGAGAAGUUUCUGGAAAACGAUGUUAGGCAGAUCCCUGACGACAGUGGUGAUAGUGACAACGCCUACGAUGAUGACGACGAUGAAUAGACAGCUAUGAGUCCUGAAAUUAACGUUUCAGUUAAACAGUUUUAUUUUCGUACAUAAUGAUCGAAUCAUUUAUAAAAAUAAAAUGGCAAAUACAAUUUAAGAAACGAAAUAUACCUAAAAAAUGUAUACUUUGUUACUCAUUUAUAAUGUACUAUCCGUUGCUUCCUUUAGAUGCUUUGUUGACGAAUGAAACUCACGUGUUAUCUAUUGUAAGAAUGUACUGUUUGCUUAUAAUAAACAUCUACCAACAAGUAUGUAAUUACCAUUAAAGAAUUGUUCACUCAUGUAUGUACUUUUGGAUUGCUCGAACAUAUAAAUAGCUUGUAAGUUAAUGUACUUCUGUUAUGUAACACCUUACAAAUAAUUUAUUUUAGUACGCAAAAUGGACAAAAAAAAAGUUACCCGAUUUGUUAUACGAAUAUCAACAUUGUGUAAUAAAAGUUCCUUUCAUAAAUGA